RNAcentral lists this ribosomal RNA (398 nucleotides) under uncultured Glomeromycotina. RNAcentral's name for it is "SSU rRNA". It matches the Rfam family "Eukaryotic small subunit ribosomal RNA", at positions 569 to 970 of the family's 1831-position model. The record is from RNAcentral. Lineage: Eukaryota; Fungi; Glomeromycota.
AGCAGCCGCGGUAAAUUCCAGCUCCAAUAGCGUAUAUUAAAGUUGUUGCAGUUAAAAAGCUCGUAGUUGAAUUUCGAGAUCAAUUUGUCGGUCGUGCCUCGGUACGUACUGGCAUUAUUGAUUUCUCCCUUCUGAAGAACUGCGAUGUCAUUAAUUUGGUGUCGUGGGGAAUCAGGACUGUUACUUUAGAAAAAAUUAGAGUGUUUAAAGCAAGCGCACGCUUGAAUACAUUAGCAUGGAAUAAUGAAAUAGGACGUUUGAUUCUAUUUUGUUGGUUUCUAGGAUCGACGUAAUGAUUAAUAGGGAUAGUUGGGGGCAUUAGUAUUCAAUUGUCAGAGGUGAAAUUCUUGGAUUUAUUGAAGACUAACUACUGCGAAAGCAUUUGCCAAGGAUGUUUU